UACGUAGGGUGCGAGCGUUGUCCGGAAUUACUGGGCGUAAAGAGCUCGUAGGCGGUUUGUCGCGUCGUCCGUGAAAACUUGGGGCUCAACCCCCAAGCUUGCGGGCGAUACGGGCAGACUUGAGUACUGCAGGGGAGACUGGAAUUCCUGGUGUAGCGGUGAAAUGCGCAGAUAUCAGGAGGAACACCGGUGGCGAAGGCGGGUCUCUGGGCCGAGUAACUGACGCUGAGGAGCGAAAGCGUGGGUAGCAAACAGG
RNAcentral lists this ribosomal RNA (256 nucleotides) under uncultured bacterium. RNAcentral's name for it is "partial 16S ribosomal RNA". It matches the Rfam family "Bacterial small subunit ribosomal RNA", at positions 524 to 776 of the family's 1533-position model. The record is from RNAcentral.